UAGGGAAUAUUGCACAAUGGGCGAAAGCCUGAUGCAGCAACGCCGCGUGAGCGAUGAAGGCCUUCGGGUCGUAAAGCUCUGUUGUUAGGGAAGAACAAGUACCGUUCGAAUAGGGCGGUACCUUGACGGUACCUAACCAGAAAGCCACGGCUAACUACGUGCCAGCAGCCGCGGUAAUACGUAGGUGGCAAGCGUUGUCCGGAAUUAUUGGGCGUAAAGGGCUCGCAGGCGGUUUCUUAAGUCUGAUGUGAAAGCCCCCGGCUCAACCGGGGAGGGUCAUUGGAAACUGGGGAACUUGAGUGCAGAAGAGGAGAGUGGAAUUCCACGUGUAGCGGUGAAAUGCGUAGAGAUGUGGAGGAACACCAGUGGCGAAGGCGACUCUCUGGUCUGUAACUGACGCUGAGGAGCGAAAGCGUGGGGAGCGAACA
This 428-nucleotide ribosomal RNA is filed under the name uncultured prokaryote. Its description in RNAcentral is "bacterial SSU rRNA". It matches the Rfam family "Bacterial small subunit ribosomal RNA", at positions 355 to 774 of the family's 1533-position model. The record is from RNAcentral.